GGAGCUUGCUCCUGGAUUCAGCGGCGGACGGGUGAGUAAUGCCUAGGAAUCUGCCUGGUAGUGGGGGACAACGUUUCGAAAGGAACGCUAAUACCGCAUACGUCCUACGGGAGAAAGCAGGGGACCUUCGGGCCUUGCGCUAUCAGAUGAGCCUAGGUCGGAUUAGCUAGUUGGUGAGGUAAUGGCUCACCAAGGCGACGAUCCGUAACUGGUCUGAGAGGAUGAUCAGUCACACUGGAACUGAGACACGGUCCAGACUCCUACGGGAGGCAGCAGUGGGGAAUAUUGGACAAUGGGCGAAAGCCUGAUCCAGCCAUGCCGCGUGUGUGAAGAAGGUCUUCGGAUUGUAAAGCACUUUAAGUUGGGAGGAAGGGUUGUAGAUUAAUACUCUGCAAUUUUGACGUUACCGACAGAAUAAGCACCGGCUAACUCUGUGCCAGCAGCCGCGGUAAUACAGAGGGUGCAAGCGUUAAUCGGAAUUACUGGGCGUAAAGCGCGCGUAGGUGGUUUGUUAAGUUGGAUGUGAAAUCCCCGGGCUCAACCUGGGAACUGCAUCCAAAACUGGCAAGCUAGAGUAUGGUAGAGGGUGGUGGAAUUUCCUGUGUAGCG
RNAcentral lists this ribosomal RNA (609 nucleotides) under Pseudomonas koreensis. Its description in RNAcentral is "bacterial SSU rRNA". It matches the Rfam family "Bacterial small subunit ribosomal RNA", at positions 75 to 680 of the family's 1533-position model. The record is from RNAcentral. Lineage: Bacteria; Pseudomonadati; Pseudomonadota; Gammaproteobacteria; Pseudomonadales; Pseudomonadaceae.